This 497-nucleotide ribosomal RNA is filed under the name uncultured bacterium. RNAcentral's name for it is "partial 16S ribosomal RNA". It matches the Rfam family "Bacterial small subunit ribosomal RNA", at positions 28 to 507 of the family's 1533-position model. The record is from RNAcentral.
GAUGAACGCUGGCGGCGUGCCUAAUACAUGCAAGUCGAGCGAACGGACGAGAAGCUUGCUUCUCUGAUGUUAGCGGCGGACGGGUGAGUAACACGUGGAUAACCUACCUAUAAGACUGGGAUAACUUCGGGAAACCGGAGCUAAUACCGGAUAAUAUUUUGAACCGCAUGGUUCAAAAGUGAAAGACGGUCUUGCUGUCACUUAUAGAUGGAUCCGCGCUGCAUUAGCUAGUUGGUAAAGUAACGGCUUACCAAGGCAACGAUGCAUAGCCGACCUGAGAGGGUGAUCGGCCACACUGGAACUGAGACACGGUCCAGACUCCUACGGGAGGCAGCAGUAGGGAAUCUUCCGCAAUGGGCGAAAGCCUGACGGAGCAACGCCGCGUGAGUGAUGAAGGUCUUCGGAUCGUAAAACUCUGUUAUUAGGGAAGAACAUAUGUGUAAGUAACUGUGCACAUCUUGACGGUACCUAAUCAGAAAGCCACGGCUAACUACGUG